GACGAACGCUGGCGGCGUGCUUAACAUAUGCAAGUCGAACGGAAAGGCCCCUUUGGGGGUACUCGAGUGGCGAACGGGUGAGUAACACGUGAGUAACCUGCCCUUGACUUCGGGAUAACUUCAGGAAACUGGGGCUAAUACCGGAUAGGAAUCCUUGCUGCAUGGUGGGGGUUGGAAAGCUUCGGCGGUUUUGGAUGGACUCGCGGCUUAUCAGCUUGUUGGUGGGGUAGUGGCUUACCAAGGCUUUGACGGGUAGCCGGCCUGAGAGGGCGACCGGCCACAUUGGGACUGAGAUACGGCCCAGACUCCUACGGGAGGCAGCAGUGGGGAAUAUUGCACAAUGGGCGGAAGCCUGAUGCAGCAACGCCGCGUGCGGGAUGACGGCCUUCGGGUUGUAAACCGCUUUCAGCAGGGGCGAAGCUUGUGGUGACGGUACCUGCAGAAGAAGCACCGGCUAACUACGUG
RNAcentral lists this ribosomal RNA (465 nucleotides) under uncultured bacterium. RNAcentral describes it as "partial 16S ribosomal RNA". It matches the Rfam family "Bacterial small subunit ribosomal RNA", at positions 28 to 507 of the family's 1533-position model. The record is from RNAcentral.